This 475-nucleotide ribosomal RNA is filed under the name uncultured bacterium. RNAcentral's name for it is "bacterial SSU rRNA". It matches the Rfam family "Bacterial small subunit ribosomal RNA", at positions 27 to 518 of the family's 1533-position model. The record is from RNAcentral.
GGACGAACGCUGGCGGCGUGCUUAACACAUGCAAGUCGAGCGAUGAAGCUUCUUCGGAAGUGGAUUAGCGGCGGACGGGUGAGUAACACGUGGGUAACCUGCCUCAUAGAGGGGAAUAGCCUUCCGAAAGGAAGAUUAAUACCGCAUAAGAUUGUAAUAUUGCAUGAUAUAGCAAUUAAAGGAGUAAUCCGCUAUGAGAUGGACCCGCGUCGCAUUAGCUAGUUGGUGAGGUAAUGGCUCACCAAGGCGACGAUGCGUAGCCGACCUGAGAGGGUGAUCGGCCACAUUGGGACUGAGACACGGCCCAGACUCCUACGGGAGGCAGCAGUGGGGAAUAUUGCACAAUGGGGGAAACCCUGAUGCAAGCAACGCCGCGUGAGUGAUGACGGUCUUCGGAUUGUAAAGCUCUGUCUUCAGGGACGAUAAUGACGGUACCUGAGGAGGAAGCCACGGCUAACUACGUGCCAGCCGCCGC